This 1179-nucleotide long non-coding RNA is filed under the name Salmo salar (Atlantic salmon). RNAcentral's name for it is "lncRNA (ENSSSAG00000102665.1)". The record is from RNAcentral. Lineage: Eukaryota; Metazoa; Chordata; Actinopteri; Salmoniformes; Salmonidae.
AUUACCAUGGAAACAAAGCACAUCACGACAAGAGAGACAUUACCAUGGAAACAAAGCACAUCACGACAAGAGAGACAUUACCAUGGAAACAAAGCACAUCACGACAAGAGAGACACCGCCAUGGAAACAAAGCACAUCACGACAAGAGAGACAUUACCAUGGAAACAAAGCACAUCACGACAAGAGAGACAUUACCAUGGAAACAAAGCACAUCACGACAAGAGAGACAUUACCAUGGAAACAAAGCACAUCACGACAAGAGAGACAUUACCAUGGAAACAAAGCACAUCACGACAAGAGAGACAUUACCAUGGAAACAAAGCACAUCACGACAAGAGAGACAUUACCACACUAUGUGAAGAGAACCCUAUGGCAACAAAAAGCAGCAUGGCAUAAACAACAUUAAGGGUAGACAACAGCACGAGGGGGAAAGACAAAGAGUCAAGCCACGAUACAGGAAACAUAACACUACUGAAGAGCCAAAUAGACAGAGACAACAAAUAAAGACACAGAAAGCAGACACCACAAUCAGCAGCCUAGGUUGUUGGCAUAACAGCGACAGUUGCCAGUGAGGAUAUCCAGGAUUGAAUCUUUGUAAGCUGAGACAGAGACACAACUUUCCAGUUUCAUAGUUUUUUUUGUAGAUUGUUCCAGUCGCUAGAUGCAGCGAACUGAAAAGAGGAACAACAAUGUGUGUGCUUUGGGGGCUUUUAAGAGAAUGUGUUAUGGGUAUGCUUGUAAUCGUUAAGGACUGGAGUGUUUAUCAGGAUAAAACAUUUCUUACUGAAUGGAGCUAAGCACAGGCAAAAUCCUAGAGGAAAACCUGGCUGUCUGCUGUGCACCAGACACUGGGAGAGGAAUUCACCUUUCAGCAGGACAAUAACCUAAAACACAAGGCCAAUUAUACACUGGAGUUGCUUACCAAGAAGACAGUGAAUGUUCGUGAGUGGCCUAGUUACUGUUUUGACUUAAAUCUACUUGAAAAUCUAUGGCAAGACCUGAAAAUGGUUGUCUAGCAAUGAUCAACAACCAAUUUAACAGAGCUUGAAGUCUUUUGAAUAGAAUAAUGGGCAAAUGUUGCACAAUCCAGGUGUGGAAAACUCUCAGAGGCUUACCCAGAAAGACUCACAGUUGUAAUCGCUGCCAAAGGACUCUUAAUUGUUUGGCAUCUGGAAAAGG